AAUGCAAUGAUGAUAUUAAGGAUUUUGGCCGUGGCAACAUUAGUUGCCGUGAGCAUUCAAUCCAAAAAACGACUUCUCUUUCCACUGAGCAUN
Molecule: small nucleolar RNA, 93 nt
Organism: Leersia perrieri
Lineage: Eukaryota; Viridiplantae; Streptophyta; Magnoliopsida; Poales; Poaceae
Rfam family: Small nucleolar RNA Z152/R70/R12/
About the family: Z152 is a member of the C/D class of snoRNA which contain the C (UGAUGA) and D (CUGA) box motifs. Most of the members of the box C/D family function in directing site-specific 2'-O-methylation of substrate RNAs. This family also contains snos R70 and R12 from Arabidopsis thaliana.
Source: Rfam